Molecule: long non-coding RNA, 4737 nt
Filed under: Lotus japonicus
Lineage: Eukaryota; Viridiplantae; Streptophyta; Magnoliopsida; Fabales; Fabaceae
Description: long non-coding RNA (LJAP_LNC000643)
Source: RNAcentral
GAUCUCAAACAAAUUCAUCAUCAAGCUAAAGCCACUUGAUCCCGCAACGAAGCAGCAAGUAUUAAUCACUUCCUCAAAACCCUGCAAAUCUGGCUCAGGUACGCAUUCUUUGACCUUCAAAUGUUAUAUAGCAAUUAGGUACUAGGUUCUGAAUGAUCCUGUUUUUUUUGUUUUCCUUUCUUUGGUUGUAUCCUAGUAAUGAUGACAGUAUUGAGUAUUCAAAAUCUCAAACGUCGCAUUUCAUGGGGAAUGUUUUCAUCUAGGAAACCUUCAUUGCCAAUUUGGUUCCUUUGCAGCUAUAAAUAACUAAGAGGAGUCCAUUUUUUAAUAGUCUAUCACUCUUAUAUUUGAGUCAAUCUUAACCAUCAAAGCUAUAAAUUAAUGGUUAAGAUUUUGCGGGAGGACUGCAGAGGAUCUAAAUUGGAAGUGAAAGUAGAAUAUACUACGAAGGAACACAUAAAUGAACUUGUAUAUAAGAUAUAUCUAUCCUCUUCUCCCAAUUAUGAUUACUCAUUGUGUUGAGUUGCUGAAGCACAAAUCUACCACAUUGUCCUAGAGACAAAGCAAAUAUCAGACACAGCUUAACGUGUUUUCAUGUUUUAAAAUCUACAAACCGUAACAAUGUGUUUGGACGACUCAUUUGAAAAAUCUAGGAAAUUUUUAAUUCAGGGAUUAAAGUACUUCAAUCACAUUCCCUUCAUUUAUAAAAUAUCUUGUUUGGAAUUAAAUUUCCUUAAUAAUAUCAUUAAUUCUUUCACUUCACUCUAAUAAUAAUUAAAUUCUGGAAUCUGACACACACAAAAAUCAAGUCCUACAAUUUUUUCUAUCUGCACCAACUCAAUUUAGAAACAAAAAAGAAAACGAAAAAAAUACAGUAUAUAUGGUAUUCUCUUGAGAAAAAAAUUGAAAUAGAUGUUGUUAGAGUUUUCAAGAAGGAGAAUGCUGAAUGUUACGAAUUAUGGCUUUACAAGGGGAACGAACUUUAUGAUAGGUUUCUUUAUUUUUCUCGCACUAACUAGCACCACUCUUUCAAGAAUUGCGGGAGGGUGGGAAACGUAGAAGAUUGGAAGUGUGGAUGUGCUAUUUCAAUAAGGUAUAAGCUAUGGUCAUGGAGUUUCACUUGGAGUAGAAAAAGAAGAAAUAAGAUGUGAUGGGGCCAUGAGGAAACGCUCAGAAAAUGAGGGAUUUCAUGAAUUCUACCUGUUUUGAUGGAAUUUAAUUUCAUUGAUUCUGGGCAACAAAAAACCCGCUAAAAUUACUUGAAUUUUUUUUUAUUAGUUAUUUAAACAUAGCAUUUUACAGCUGAAUCCUUCUGUAAAUUACAUUCCUCUGUAAAAAUGAUUCAUCCAUACGCAACAAUAUAAGGGAGAACUAUAAACCCAUAAUACAAACUUUGCCACCCAAACAGAGAAAAGAAUUGCCUUUCUAUAAAAAUUACCCUUGGACUAUAAGAAUCAUCUAAGAAAAUAGACAACCACUGAUGAUUCCCUUUUUCAAACUUGGUUGAAUCUCUUCAGCGAAUUGGGUGAUAUUGUGUGAUACCACGCUUGGGUGGAAGCUUCCUCAAAAUGAAAAGGACCAAAGAAGAAGGCAAUAUUUCCACCAACUGCAGUAAAAAUGAGAGAAAGGUAAGAGGAAUUGUGGGAAAGAGACAUUCAAUACCUCUUUUGAUGGCUUACCCUCCAAAAAGGUUUAAAUAUUUAACCUACCGAAAAGGUUUAUCUUAGUAAAUUAUUAACUAGUAAAAAAACAUUUACAAAAUCACGGUUCCAAAUAAAAAUCAGAACAUCAACUAGCCAUAUUUUAUGAGAAACAAUUUUCAUCAGUGGCUAAAACUUUUGUUCGAGAUUUGCUCACUAUGAAUUGUUGGAUUUCAAAGCAGGAUUUAAUCUGAUUUAACAAUUCUGGCCACAUGGGUUUCCAGUAAGAACAAUCUUACAAAUCAGGAUUAAGAGUAAUGUCAAUAACAGAAAGAAAAGUUUAGCCUUAAAUUUGGGUCAGUCAAAAUUUUAGGCAGUGAACAUCUCACUUUGAUCACUAAGCUAAAGCCUAAUAAGCACAAAAGUAAAUGACCUUACCAGGUAAUAUAUGAAGUUCAGAAUAGGAUGGUCCAAGACAUCAAGGUCCGCAUUUUUAUCAAAUGCAUUAAAGCACAUCUGAUAAAACAAAAUAUAAUCAAACUCGAAGUUUCAUUAUUCUGAAGUGGCGGGAAUGUAUAUCUCUAUCAAACCCUAUCUCCAGUCCCCAUGGGGAGAAAAUAUUUUCUCAGUUAAGUCUCAAUGCUGGUUUUCCGGUUUCUCUUUGUGGCUCAAGUCUGGUAGUAAUAUCUCUUACUACCAAUAGUAUUUCACAUUUUUAUCCAAAGCAGUAUUUCCUUCCUAUCUGAAUCAAAUUGAUGGGGAUUAUUCCUAUGCAGCCAUUAAGCCAUACCUUGAGCAGACUGCAGAGUUAGGUUUCCAGUAUUGCUUAUCUCUCCAUCGUCACUAACAUCCCUAUGUUACCUCACCAACGAUAUCUUAUGAAGCCCGCUUUGUAUUUGUCAUUUUAGAGUAGACUGUUGGUGGAAUCAAUUACACACAUCUAAUUUGAGAAGGAGAGUUACAACAAUAUCUUUGGAAUAAUGUUGGAGGAAUCAAUUACACAUCUAAUUCAGAAAGAAAUUUAUUAUACUAGAGAUCACAGGUAAUUCAAGUAGGGAGAUGGGGACUGUUGAGUGUUGACACAGGUAACAAAAGGGCAGCCCAGUGCAUUAAAGCUCCCAAAAUGUGCGGGGUCUGGGCACAAGAGGUUGUUGACACAGGUAGUUAGAAAUAAAAUGGGAGAUGAGAUGUUGGUGUGGAAAGUUAUGGAUUGAUUGUGAGGGGAAGUUAGGGGAGAGUCCAGUUCUCAUGAAUAUGUGCAAGAGGAGAUCUAGAGCAUCUGUUAACCCAUUGAUCAGACCCAGAGAUAGAGCUUUUCAUCAAUUAACAUUCUGCUUUCUUUCUAUAUUCUGAUCCUGUUAUAUGGGGUAUAAUCUUAACCAAAGAUGAUGGGUUAGGCCCAGUGAAUUAUCAAUGACAAGAAUAGGAAGUUAAAAUGAGGAUUAUCAAUGCCUGCAUUCAGAAGUUACACAUCGUCCAAAAUAGCAAUGCGUAAAGCUGGCCCAACGCCUAGGUAGGAAAACUAACUUCAAAGGAGGAGGUUCCUAAAGGAUUCUGUAUCAACUAACAAGUCUUUGAGAAGCCAUUGAAGGGGAUUCAGGAUAUAGUCUGACACCAGAUUACAGUAGAGCAAGAUGGGGCCAGGUUUUAGGAGUGAUAAGAAAUUUAGUCCAGUCUCCAGAUCAAGUGUGUUAGAAGCAGUUACAGUACUGUCACUGGAGGAAGUUUCAAAACAAAAAGAGGAAUACCAUGUGAAUUGCUGGGACAGGAACAACAGCUGAAAUUCAUCUUGAGGACAUGAUGAAACUUUACAAGGGAUGAGGCAGGUAUGAGAAAAGGUGAAUGGGUGAAAUAGGAGGGGUUUAUUGCAUCAGUUAUUCUGCAGUAUCUUUGUAUCUCAUUUCUGCAUCUCUGAUCUUGAAUCACAUUGACACAGAUGUCAUUUUCUUUCCAUAUUUGAUCCAGUUCUAUUACAAUCUUAGAAAUUGUUUCCUGAUAUAGUUAUAUUUUGCUAGUAGUUUCCUUUUAGGUGGUGAGGCUAUUGAAACUCUCAAUUGCCUAUUCCUAUUCCCCACUAACAACUCAUAAUUAUAAUUUUCAAAAUUUGUCAGAGUUAAAUUUCAAUGCAACAUUGUAUGUUUGUCUAUCAACGUUCUACAAUAUUAGUUAUUUAUUUUAACUUAUAUUUAUUUGUAUUACCUAAAUAGCCUUUUAUAUAUGUUUUUUGGGUUAGCUUGCUAAUCACAGUUGGAUUUUAACAUGUUAAUUUUCAUACUUUCUCUCUAUAGGAACAUGGCCUAGAAUCAUUAGAUGAACUUGUGAUUCUAAAUUUAGGUAAGCUAAUUAUUUUAAUACAUAUUUUAUACUACGAGUUAUGUUCUUUUGCAUUGUACUUGGAUUUUUGUUCAGAGGAGGGAAUAGUUUUGGUGUAUCAAAAACAAGUAAAUUAAAAUGACUGACCAGAAUUGAAUGAUGAACAGUAAAUAUAAUUCAGACUAAACUGAAAAUAAAUUCUUCACUUGAGGACAAUUUAGGAAAUUAAAAUUCAGAAGUGGAGUGUGGAUAGGCAAUUGGUAGUACUAAUAGCCUCGCCCUUAAAUUAGUUCAAUACACAUUAUCAGGAUUGAGCUUGUAUCAGUAAUACUACACUUAGCCUCAUCAAACUACAUACCUCUUGCAGCUUCUUACGUCUACCUUUGGAUUCAACAGGAAAGCGUUGCAGCAUCAAGAAUAAUCUGUCAAAAAACUGAGUCAGGGAGUAGUGCAAAAUGCAGCAAAAUGAGAGGGUAUGACAAAUGGGCAAACAAGAUGCAAGUAUUCAGAAAACACCCAAGAUUUAGUUUAAAAUUUGAAUUUUAAUCAUAGUUAUCAAUAGCGCGCGAAAGCGGCGCUGUAGCGUAGCGGACCCCUGCCGCGACGGGAUCGCAGCCGCGAAAUCCCGCUAUUCACGGCCAAUAGCGGCCUUCCCUUGUAUGGGAUUUCAUUUUUGGGGGUCAUCCACGAUCCGCGAUUGACUACUAUGAUUUUAAUGGUGCUUGCUUAAGUCCUCAUAUGCUUUAAAAUAGAUGGAAUAUAUUCAUUCCAAAUUACAUCAAAG